GCGCCGCGGCUGGCGUUUCUGUUUUCUCAUUUCUCUUCAGGCGACAGCACGGCAAAGCAGGAUGGGGCCGGGCCACGCUACAAUCGCAUACGUACACGCCAUUGUCUAAAGGGGCACGCCCAGGGCACGCGCGACCGCCUGCAGAGGCGCUGGCGAGGGGGCACCAAAGACGAUCGGCUCCACCGGCGGCGGCGUGUCCAAGAGGGGCAGAGCGAAAAACUGGUUUCCGGCGGUGGCCACGGCGGCGGCAUCAUCGGCAAAGAGACCAGAGGGCAAACCGGCGCGACUCAACGCCGCCUCGUCAAAGAGCACGCCCACCAUGAAAUCGAUCAGAUCGUCGGGCUGGCGAAAGGCCCGAUUCAAUACAGAAGGUGCGGUGCUGCGCUGUGCCGCGCGCACGACGGCAACAAAGAGAGGCGACACACCAGGCUCCGCCACAGGAGCAGCGACGGGCUGGCGCGCGACGACAUCGGCAUAGAGUGUGUACAGCCCGUUGACCGCCCAUUGGCGCACGGCCAGCGGCGCGCGCGCCCCAUAUGCCACCGUCGCCAGCAGCACGGCAACGUCGCGCGCAUAGGCAUUCAAAUACGGAUGAAAGAUGACGUGGCGACUUUCCGUGUUGCCGGCCGCCACGAGCGAGGCCAGCGACGCGGGAGUGGGCGUUGUCGGUGCCGGUCCCGACGUGUCGGGCGGUGUCGGGCCGUAGAUGCUGGCGAGGCCAUCGUGGCCGGCCACGUCGACACCCAGAGCGCGCAGCCGAUCGCUGGUGGCAAGAGCAUAGUCGGUGGGGCGCGCUAGCCAACACUUGGUGCGCACGGCAAAGCGCCGCCAACCAUAGGCGCGCGAUUGUAGCGCGUAGCGAAAGACCGGGCCGCCGGGGCACGGUGCGCCAUUUCGCGUGCAAGUCGAUCCCCGUGCGGCCGCACGCGCCUCAGCAUCUAUGGACGAGGCAGGCGUCGUCGGUGCGAGAAUCCGCGACAGGAGCACGUUACGGCCGUACAUGUCGUUGUUGACAAUGUCGUAGACGCGCGCAGCCCACGCUAUCCCGGCACACACCUGAAAGACCACGCUCAUCCACUCGGCCUCGGAGCGCAACGGUCCGUUGGUCAUCCAUGCGGCCAGAUCGCAGUCGGCCAUCUCCUGGAAAAUGUCAACGCUCCCGGCGGGCACCUCGCCCUUGAGCCGCGCCGACGCGACCUCGGUCGGCGUCGGAUAGGCGACGGCCGUGCCGUACACGCACGGCAGAUUGGGACACGCGCGGAUCUUGACCAGGGCCGAGAGCAUGUCCGUGAGCAGUGACUCGCGUACGGCCACCGCGGGCCUUGCGCCGCCGGGCGUCACCUUGACGGCCAACGGCAGACGCGUGAGGUCACGCAGAGGGGGCGGUGGUGCCAACGGUGUCAAUGGUGUUGACGAGGAUGAAGAUAUGGCUGGCGGCGGCAACCAGAAUGCGCUCUCUGCGCUCGACGCCGCGGCCUCGGACGACAGCGCGGUCGCAAGCGUCACUGGCGACGGCGAUUGCCGAAAGCCGGACGCGCACACCGAGCCAUAGAUUCCGGCGCCUAGCGGACGCACCAAAUAAAGAGCGGCGUCGAGACGCCGUGGAAACGUGGCCGGGAGCGCGCCAUGUAUGCGCGGCGCCACAUAGACGUGAUCAGCGAGCGCGCGACUCAUGGAGGAGGCGACGCGCGCCCGUUCUUCGAUCGUGGAGC
RNAcentral lists this long non-coding RNA (1712 nucleotides) under Pandoravirus neocaledonia. Its description in RNAcentral is "hypothetical ncRNA". The record is from RNAcentral.